RNAcentral lists this unclassified non-coding RNA (441 nucleotides) under Hevea brasiliensis (rubber tree). The record is from RNAcentral. Lineage: Eukaryota; Viridiplantae; Streptophyta; Magnoliopsida; Malpighiales; Euphorbiaceae.
AAUGGAUUGCUAACAUUUGACGUUGCCACAAGUUCUUUACUCAAUGUUGUAACUGGCACUUCAUGAUCAGCAUGCUCAUCAGCCUUCGUCUCAUCAUCAUUACCAAGUUCAUCAUCUUCCAACCUGACAAUUGCUUCUUCAGUGAACUCCUGAUUGUCUACUGCCUCUUCCUCUUCAACUUUCUUCAGAGCCAUGUAAUCUGCCUCAUCUUCUACAUUUUGCAAAGCAGCCUCAACGUCAGCAUUAGAAAGCUGAACCUCAGUGACAUUGCUGUUCUUCACUACUUCAAUAUUCUUUAAGGAAACUGUUCUGUGGCCGGAGAACAAUUCCAUUGGAUCUAGUUUCUUGAAGAAUUCAGUGUUGUAACUUCCACUCUGUAUAACCAAAUCAUCCAGAGCACGCUUCUGGUUUGCCUUUUUCAAAAUAUUCUCUUCAAUGGUA